AGCAAUCUCCUCCAAGCUGAGGUCGUUAAUCACCCAGAUGGACAGAAAUAAGCCAGCAGCAAGCAGAGACCACCACUCUGGAUGGGGAUUCAGAGAGGGUCGCAGAGGAUGGGAGCAGCCUCAACAGAUGAGAAUGGCCUCGUCCGACCUCCCUGACUGCCUCCUUGUUGCAGGAAAAGAAAAGCGAAACUCAGGCAGGCGAGCCAGCAGCUCCUGGAGUGUGGUGCCAAAGUUGAGAGGGCAGAAGAGCCUCGCCUACCCAAGUCCCUUCCCAUGAGCUCUACCCAAGCUAGAAAGGAUCUGGGAAGCCUUUGAAGAAGAUUCCUAACAACCCUGGGACAUCUCAAACCAUCUGAGGCUGGUUAACGUCUGGAACUGAUGCCACAAGAUCAACUGGAGUUCACCUGCUGAAGCCUGGAGACCAGCAAAGUUGUUCCAUCAGCCCUGAGAGGAGGAGGUGUUGUGCCUUCACUAACGAAAAACAGGUGGAGCUCCUCACUGCUGCACUGAUGGUGAGCUAAGAAAGAUCCUGAGGAUUUGUGGAUUUGUAAAGAUGAACAGAUCGUUCACACUGAGCCUUGAAAUCGAGCCUGUUGUGCACUGCUUCGGGCUCAUGAAGUGCUCGCGUUCCCAUAUUAAUUAUUAACAAAGCUAAAACACUCCAGAGAUUGGCCUGGAAACAUCAAAUAUGCUUAAUAUUAAUGGCUCCCAGAUGAUAGCUAGCAGUGAACACUUGAAUGUGUUAAAGACCAAGGAGGAAAAUAACUACUGAAUACAAUCAACAUUUUGAAUAUUAAUUACAAAGAGAAUACAUGUGUGAACCACAAGGAAUACCUUCCUAUAGCAUUGCCUAGUGCUUUCUUACAGCAUUGCCUGCUAUCCAUUUGAAAAGACUGAUCAUAUUCUUUACACACAUGGGAAGAGGCUUAACUUGCUUGGAGCAUAGGGAGGUAGUGAGACCAGCCACUCACCUCCUUGUACCUGAGAGGAGCUGCCUGUGGCGUGGGACUGCUGCCUACUUAUGCUGCUCUCCUGUUAGCUUCCUCCCUUGUGAUUUCUGGCUGAUUCCUCAGUAGGAAUAUUUUGCUAUGAAUGGUUUGCUUACCCCCAAACUCCACUGCAUGACUCCUGCCCACCUUGCCAAGAGGGCUGCGAUGCAGCUCUGCUUAGGGUCCUGGACUUCAAAGGGUACGCCACCUCCCAGAGGAUGCAGAGACAAGGAGAUCAAGUGUGGGAAAUGAGAGACACGUUAUCUAACAAAGGACAGAAUUUGCAGUGUUUUACCUGAUUAAAGCACUCAGGCUCUCUCUGCCAUGUGCCAUGAGCUGCUCAGUGGGCUGCUUUUUACCAGUGGGGGUAUCAAGUUUAAGGAGAUGUACCCUGGCCUCUCUGAUAAACUUGGUGGCUCCUGACCAGCUGGCUUACACUGUGAGUCUGGGACAGGAGCACUGCUACAAAGAGAGCACAUAUGGCUCGUUCCCUUAGGAAACCAGGCUAAAAAUGGCUGUAGGCAGCACCUUUCUAGUCUAGAGAGGAGGUUGCUGACAGCCAUAAAUGUUUCCCAGCUCGAUAAUCUCACCCAAAAGUGUUUCACUUGUCUGUGUUCCCCAGGCAGUUGUAAUGUGUGCAACUGCCAGUGCUUUGCCAGUGCUUGGAGAGAGAAAUGUUUAAGUCAUGUUGCCUAGCACAGAAAGCAAGUGUGGGUGUGAACAUAAGGGUUUUUGCUGGGAUCCCCACCCAGAUUUGGGAUGUAUAGUACAGACGUGUUCACAGGGAGUCGUGAGAUGGGGUCUGUGUCUCCUUGCUUUGUAGUGUGCCAAUGGCCACAUGGUAUUCCUACUUCUUUCAACUCAUGUCUAAACCGUUGGCUGGUUUUCACCUGGUUCCCAGCCUCGUGCUUUGAGUCUUAUGGGGGCAGUCUGGAAACGCACAGGAAGUGAAAUUGUUUAAUCUGUUUGAGCCUGAGCAGCCUUGCCUAACACCAGCCACUGAUGGAAGAGCAGCAUGCUGUUACAAAGGGGUGAGGCAACUCAUCUGUUGCCAGUGAGCCAGGAAGGAACAAAGAUACCUCGAGAGGGAAACCAUUAUCUGCUGUUACCUACAGCAGUUCCCUUUGUAAUUGAAAAACGUAUUAAAAAUUAUUUUGGGAACUUCUAAUUACUUUGUCGAGGCACUAAUGUGCUCAGGAUGUUUCAGAAACUUUAGUAACUGCCCAGAAAGAGGCCACCACAGAGAAAUCAGUCUUUCCUGCCUUGACCCGCUGCUGAAAGGUCAAGGAGGAUGAAAAGUUGUGCAGAAAAUGAGGUUGAGCAACAGAGGUGGUGUCUGACAAGUUCCUGGGGAACUCCCUCUGACAGUGCCCAGCCCUGCACGACUUCAAGCUGGGAACACUGCAAUAAGAAGCUUAUAUUGAGUAGCUGUCCUUAGAGGAAUGUACAGCUAGAAGAGCCAGAAGGCAAAAGAAAGAAAAAACAGGGACUUGCAUAUGGGCAGCCUGGUGCUUGACAAGCCAUGCAGCCAGCUAUGGAAAUGAUGGUUUGUAGAUGCAAGCACUCGUUUUCCUUUCUGCCCAGCUGGGGAUAUUUUUUUAGCAUAGCUGAAAUGAAAGCAUUCUGUGGCAGUUUGGUGAAUUUAGAAAAAUCUUCUUUUGUUUCUACAACUGGCAAGAAAUCUGAACACUGGAGGAUUUGACAGCUCCUGCCCAACUUUUCUUGGCUCUUCGCUGAUGGAGAAUAGAGAAAAUAAUUCCUUCACUUUCCUACAGGGAAGGAUCGGAAGGUUUUUAAUACCGUAAUAAUUAAUGCUGUGGAACAGCCUACAGGAAAAAUGCAGAGGAUGGUAAUUGGAUGGGUGCAGGAGCUGACUGAUGAGCUGGCUUGGGGUGCACAGGGGCAGAGGAAACACCCUGAGCAGAUGAGUCACUCCCAGAGACCAUUCCUGGUUCCCUGAGCACGGAAAAACAGGAAUGCUAUGGAUGCUAAGAAAACGUGUUAUGGCUUAAAAUCAGAGGCCCCCUUAGUUCUAAUACACUGUAACAUCUGAAGUGUUUCAUUUCUGUUUCCUCUGAUGUUUUCUUACUGUUAUCUUCUUUCACUUCCGAGUUUAGGCCAAUGUCUUUGUUUCAGGAAACUAUAAUGACCUGCCUUCCUGCCCUGCUGGUGAUUAGCACAGCUGGAACCCGAAUUCUUCAGCACCAGCAUGGCUUAUUUUAGGUAAGCCAGGAACCAUCAGCUGUCUGCUGCUGCUCUGGGUGGGUGAGCAGACAGGUGAAAGGAGAUGAGGUAACUGCUGCACUGCUUCAAGUACGUAAUGCAGAACCACGAGGCAUCACAUACAGGAGCAGUUCUUUCUGUCAUUAAGUGGUUGGAACUGUUCCCUGAGAGGAGACAUAGCAAUAAGUGAGUGGAAGAUACUGGGACCUGAAUAAGUGUGGAAGAUCUCUACGAGCAAAGCAAGGUUAUGUUUUCCUGCACUUUAGAAAAGGCACGUUUUUGCUCUGAGCUGCACUUCACAUCAAUCCAGAUGAAUUUCCAUAGGGACAGCAAAAGGCUCCUCCUUCCCCUUCUCCCACUCCAGCGAGGGAAUCAAACUGCAGUGCAGAGCUCACAUAAGCUUUUCCAAAACAAUGUUCACACGCCAUUUUACAGAACGGUAUGACUAAUUAGUGCAAACAAUCUGCUACAAACAAUUGGUGUUUUCAGACCGUAUGUUGUGGCUACGUGUUACGGCAGCCCCAAACAACUCGAGUUUAAGAAAACUGGGAAGGCCUGUGUGGAAAAUUUAGCUCAGCUUGGAAUGCUUGGGACAGGAGUGGAUGAGGCCACACAGCAUGGAGCAGACAAAGCAUGGGAAAUCCAAGAAGAAGGAAGCCUCCAGCCCUUGUAAGCAGGCCACGUGUCCCCUUGCUCUCGUGUCUACGCACUGUCAGAGCAGCAAAGACAGAAGGAAUUCUUCCAUACAUUAAUCACGAAGAGAUGCAGAGCCAGCUCCAGCUGAUGUAAUGCAUUGUUUUCACCAAAGUUAUCCCAGUUUAGUCUUGCUAAAGGAAAACCCAUCUGCUUUUUGACAGAUGUACAUGCAGCACUCCCAGAUGAAAUGUGCCUAUCGAUCUCUUGCUGCCUUUGGCCCAGGCUCUGGGAGAAAAGGUGUAGGGGUGCAGUUCUUGCCUUGGCAGUCUUAUCACUGCAUGAUCCUACUGUCUGGAAUGGGAUUUUAUCCCCACGGCACUUCUGGUAAGUGAAAAGGUGAGUGUUGUUAGGCCAGGUGGAACUAAUGCAUGAUGUAUUCUUAGCAGGUUCCUCCAAGAACAGCCUAGAGCUGUCUUAACACUUAGCUUCACAGCAAGAGGGGAAGCCAGAGGAGGAGGAGCAGCCAGAUUUUGCAACUGGAGGGAGCAGAUAGUGAUACAGAUUACAAACAGCAGUCCGUGACUGCUUUGUGUGUGAGCCAGGCACUGCCAUCAGCUGCUGUGCAGCAGCCUGGGACAGAUUUGGCUCCCUGUAACUACAGCUGCUGUGGAGCUGGCUUAACUUUGCUUUGUGCCAAAAUGCUGAGCUGUGGUGUGUCUGCUCCUAAUUAGAUUAGGUCUGUAGAGGCUGCCGUGAGUGGGCUCCCACUGUAACCCAAGACGGGCAGUUUUCAACAAGCUCAGUGAGAGUUUUCAAAUGGCAGGUGAGUUCCCUGCUUGGCAUGGUAGUGUAGAGCACACAAGAUUGCCAUGCUGGGAUUAUGUCAUCCAGUCCAGGAGCAUCAGGACAACCUCUCUGCAGCUGCAGUGGUGCUGCCUGUGAUAGAUACUCGUGUCCCAAGCCUCGUGGCAGGGAAGAGAGCGUGCAGUGUUUGGGCUAGUGCUAGUGAUGGCAGCCAAGCACUCAUGAUAAUGCUCACAACUUCUUUUGGAUUUGUGUCCAGAACUUUGGCAAUAAACAUCUGAUUUCCAGACUGCAAUUACGUAUGGCCUGUUUAGCUGUAGGCUUUUCUGCUAACUUGGCUCCAAGCUUUACACAGAAUUAUCCACAGAUCUUCUCUCCAAAGGAGUUUAUAGAAAAGAGAUGCAGUUGUUCUGUUUUUCACUGGACAAGCCAACUCAUCUCAGAAAAGAUCCUCCUGCUGCUUAUGCUAGCAGCUUUUUCUCUGCAGAUAUGAAAGCCUGAAUGCUUCUUAACACGGGUAAGCAGACAAAGGGACACCAUUUUAGGUAAGGUCACGUAGAUGUUCUGUGCAAUGGUAUAAAUAUUUGCAUUGGGAGACCCUUACCUGAAAUGUUCUAACAUUAAACAUAAUUCUUUGUGUUGUGAUGAUGGCACACAACCAAACCAUGACUGAUUUAUAAUCUCAGAACUUCCUCCUCUCUGACAUUUCUAUGUGAUGAGAUCAUGAGCUUAGUCCUUGACAUGGGACUUGCAGUCUGCUUGGUUUCGUUCCAUUUGUGUCUCAAAUCCUUAACCUCUUCCCAUUCCCGUAUGAGUUUACCUUCCUUUACUGAUGUUACUUCAUACACUGUCAUCCGAGUAUUUCAUUAGUGCUAUCUUAUGCUAUCUUACUUGCACUAGGGUGCUAAUGAGAAUAUUAAAUGAAAUCAAGCCCAGGGCUUUGAAAGACUCCCUCUGAUGGAAGAGUCUUCCUCAACAUUGAAAGAGGCCCAAUCCAGACACCUCCAGAUCCCCAAACAAAAAAGAGAGCAAGGUGUUUGGCUGCUGGUGUUGUGCAAUUUUUUUUCUCUAGUCCUUUUGAAGUUCACCUUUGAAGGCCAGCAUUUUAAGGAAUCAUAGAAUCACAUGGGUUGAAAAGGACCACAGUGCUCAUCAAGUUUCAACCCCCCUGCUAUGUGCAGGGUCGUCAACCACCAGACCAGGCUGCCCAGAGCCACAUCCAGCCUGGCCUUGAAUGCCUCCAGGGAUGGGGCAUCCACAGCCUCCUUGGGCAACCUGUUCCAGUACUGGAGCACCUUGGGAAGCUGCUAUCAAUUAUGGCUUUGCUGUGAUCCCUCACUGCAUAACCAAAAGCCCCAGGAUAGAAAAGUCAAAGCCAAGCAAGGUUCCCAGCCUGCCAGGACUCCCCUGAUGCAAAUAACCACUCAGCUGACCUGAAGAGUAAUAAAUCUCACCCAGACAAAUCUGCACAGACGCUAGCAGUCUCCUGGGCCCUAUCUUGAUACUGCUCAGAUGUGGCAACAUCUGAAAGCAUUUCCCAUGAGGGUUCAUUUGCUGAGGAAGAUCAUCAUAGGCUCCUUAGGAGGUAUAAGUGUAGAAGCCCUCUAGUUGCCCUAGUGUUUUUUUUUUUUUUUCCUGAAGUACUUCAGUACCAGCACAUAUUUGUCUGUGAUGUAAUUUUUUCCCAUUAAUAAAUCUACAGACUCUGCAGGAUAUGUUUGCAAAAUGUUACCACGUUAAUGGAGCUCUGCUCCUUUCAAGGAUCUUGGCAAUAUGAAAUAUUGGCCUCUUAGGUGUAGAUUUUCUGAAGUAUUUAAGCAUUCCACUCUCCUUGGACUAAUGGACAUCUUGUUAAAGCUGUCAGACUUCCUUUCUGGCUCGCCAGAUGCCAUGAUCUUACAGUGGAGCAGAAGGUGACCCUGUGUUUUCUUUCUAUGCUGUCAUCUAGCCACUGGUUUCCUCUAUCCCAGGCUUUAAAGCUAAUAGAAAUGUAAUCAUACUUUGCUGCGCAAAACAUAAAACCAUCCAUUUUAUUAUGUAGAAAUGGUCUACUGAGUACACAAGCAGCAGUAGUUUUAACAGCUGAUGGCUUGUUCUGGCUCUCAAGAGUGUGGUUUUACAAGAUGGUUUGGUUUGAGAGCAACACAGAGGGAAAAUUGUAUCUUUGGGAUGUGCUCUGCAUGAAACAGCCUCCUUGUACACAGGAUAUUGGAGAAUUAUGCUCUUAAAAUAAAGCCCCUUGAAACUGG
Molecule: long non-coding RNA, 6901 nt
Organism: Gallus gallus (chicken)
Lineage: Eukaryota; Metazoa; Chordata; Aves; Galliformes; Phasianidae
Exons: 4
Source: RefSeq, a predicted model, not a curated record